This 1579-nucleotide small RNA is filed under the name Histoplasma capsulatum var. duboisii H88. Its description in RNAcentral is "Histoplasma capsulatum H88 hypothetical RNA". Lineage: Eukaryota; Fungi; Ascomycota; Eurotiomycetes; Onygenales; Ajellomycetaceae. The record is from RNAcentral.
CCCAGCGCGACAUCCAUUGAGCGGGGGAAAUGAGAUAAAAUGGCUGUUCCCUUAUUACGCACUGCGUCCCUCUCCUUGAAAACCCUCGUUUGAUCGUGUCCCGCUCCAUACUGCGAGUACUGGUCCUCAUACUCAUGGCCGCCAGCUCGAAGGGACCCCUGGCCGCCGCUGCUCGGCUGGCUGCGUGGAGGCCAGCGAUUGCUCGACGGGGACUCUCUCCAACACCAGCGCAUGCACAUCUGCCUCCCACGUUUGCUGCUGCUGCUGCUGCCCCGAAGAACCGCACUAUACAUACGCAGACUCCUCUCAAUGCUCCCUCCACCAAUGCUGCCAGCGUCAAGCGAACAGCCACGCCAGAACAACAAUCGUACGCAAACCCCCAAGAACAAAACUCCUCCUCGAACCCCGCCCUCUCGUUCCCCUGCCUGGAUGCCCUCGACGCCAAAUCCGCCCUCCUCACCGCACGAUCCGUCGACUCCGGCCCGGAACCCUCCUACACCACCGGCAACCAUGAGGAAUUCAAAUCCACAGACCUCCUCCUCCUCGACUGGGGCGGCGUUCUCCCCGAAUUCACCAUCGCCUACGAAACCUGGGGCACGCUGAAUAGCGACAGAUCCAACGCCAUCCUUCUCCACACCGGCCUCUCCGCCUCCUCGCACGCCCACAGCACCCCCGCAAACCCAAAACCGGGCUGGUGGGAACGCUUCAUCGGCCCCGGCCGCCCCCUUGACACCGACAGAUACUUCGUCAUCUGCACCAACGUCCUUGGCGGCUGCUUUGGCAGCACGGGCCCCUCCUCCAUCGACCCGUCCGACGGCAAACGCUACGCAACCCGCUUCCCCAUCCUCACCUUGGACGACAUGGUGCGCGCCCAGUUCCGCCUGCUCGACGCACUUGGCAUCUCCUCCCUCGCCGCCUCCGUCGGCGCCAGCAUGGGCGGCAUGCAGUCGCUCGCCGCCGGCGUGCUCUUCCCGCACCGCGUGCGCCGCAUCGUCAGCAUCAGCGGCUGCGCCCGCAGCCACCCCUACAGCAUCGCCAUGCGCCACACCCAGCGCCAGGUGCUGAUGAUGGACCCCCGGUGGGCGCGCGGCUUCUACUACGACGCCGUCCCGCCGCACGCCGGCAUGAAGCUAGCCCGCCAGAUCGCCACCGUCACCUACCGCAGCGGGCCCGAGUGGGAGCAGCGCUUCGGCCGCGCGCGCGCUGACCCCUCCAAGCAGCCCGCCCUGUGCCCGGACUUCCUCAUCGAGACCUACCUCGACCACGCCGGCGAGAAGUUCUCGCUCGACUUCGACGCCAACAGCCUGCUGUACGUCUCCAAGGCCAUGGACCUGUUCGACUUGGGCGUCGAGCAGCGGGAGGCCACCGCCGCCCGCCGCACCCAGACCCUCAGCCGCAUCUCUCGCCAGGCACGCGUGCAGAACGACCCGUCCUACGGCCUAACGUGGCCCGCGCAGCCGUACGAGGAGCAGGACCGGGAGCAGCCACAGCAGCAGCCACAGCCGCAGCCGGCGCCGUGCGCAUCGUCCGCACAACAACAGCAUCCGGACACCGAGGCAUCAUGCUCCACCACCACCAC